UAGUCCACGCCCUAAACGAUGCUAACUCGAUAUUUGGAUCUUGAAUCUGAGUGUCUAAGCGAAAGCGAUAAGUUAGCCACCUGGGGAGUACGUUCGCAAGAAUGAAACUCAAAGGAAUUGACGGGGGCCCGCACAAGCGGUGGAGCAUGUGGUUUAAUUCGAUGAUACGCGAGGAACCUUACCAGGGCUUAAAUGUAGUGGGACAGGUCUGGAAACAGAUCCUUCUUCGGACUCGUUACAAGGUGCUGCAUGGUUGUCGUCAGCGCGUGCCGUGAGGUGUCAGGUUAAGUCCUAUAACGAGCGCAACCCCUGUUGUUAGUUGCCAGCGAGUAAUGUCGGGAACUCUAACAAGACUGCCGGUGCAAACCGCGAGGAAGGUGGGGAUGACGUCAAAUCAUCACGGCCCUUACGUCCUGGGCUACACACGUGCUACAAUGGUCGGUACAGAGAGCAGCCACUGCGCGAGCAGGAGCGAAUCUAUAAAACCGAUCACAGUUCGGAUCGG
RNAcentral lists this ribosomal RNA (505 nucleotides) under uncultured bacterium. RNAcentral describes it as "bacterial SSU rRNA". It matches the Rfam family "Bacterial small subunit ribosomal RNA", at positions 791 to 1301 of the family's 1533-position model. The record is from RNAcentral.